UAAAAAAUUUGGCGGUAUUUUAGUCUAUUCAGAGGAACCUGUUCUGUAAUCGAUAAUCCACGAUGGACCUUACUUAAGUUUGUAAUCAGUUUAUAUACCGUCGUUAUUAGAAUAUUUUAUGAGAAUGUUAAUUUUCAGAAUUUUUUAAAAGAAAAUAUAUCAGAUCAAGGUGUAGCUUAUAUUUAAGUAGAAAUGGGUUACAAUAAAAUUAUUUAUACGAAUAUAAAUUUGAAAUAUUUAUUGAAGGUGGAUUUGAUAGUAAAAUUAUAAAGAUUAAUAAUUUGAUUUUAGCUCUAAAAUAUGCACACAUCGCCCGUCACUCUUACUAUUAAGGUAAGAUAAGUCGUAACAUAGUAGAUGUACUGGAAAGUGUACCUAGAAUGCAAUUUAAAGCUUAUUUAGUAAAGCAUUUCAUUUACAUUGAAAAGAUUUUUGUGCAAAUCAAUAUAAAUUGAUUAUAUUUUAUUUAUUAAUUAAUUUUUUUUUAAAUUUAAAUUAUUAAAAAUAAUUAUAAAAUGAUUUGUUUUAGUAUUUAAUAAAGAAAAAAUAAUUUUAAUUAUAGUGUAAUAGUAUUGUGAAAGAAAAUUGAAAUAAUUUGAAAAAUUAUUAUUUU
This 613-nucleotide ribosomal RNA is filed under the name Paregle coerulescens. RNAcentral describes it as "partial 12S ribosomal RNA". The stretch from base 384 to 455 matches the Rfam family "tRNA". The record is from RNAcentral. Lineage: Eukaryota; Metazoa; Arthropoda; Insecta; Diptera; Anthomyiidae.